Molecule: long non-coding RNA, 656 nt
Organism: Rattus norvegicus (Norway rat)
Lineage: Eukaryota; Metazoa; Chordata; Mammalia; Rodentia; Muridae
Source: RefSeq, a predicted model, not a curated record
GGGGACAAAGCUUUUGUAAGGCGGAAGGAAAAGGAGAAUCAAGAUGGAGACGAAGAAGGAUGUCCCAGAUCCGGGUGGUCUUGAUUUGCCAAGCUUAAGUAUCUCUUGCAUUUACAAAGAGUGAAAUCACCUUGACCAUCUGAUUGACCUCCACAACUGGAUUAAACCUUAAGAGAUGCAGCAAGGGUUUGUUUCUACUUACAGACAGAGUCCAUUCUUUUGACAAGAAAGAGGAGAUUUUCAUUUACUGGAAUUUCAACAUUAUGAUAAGAAUUUUCUAAGCUUUCCUGAUUUUUCAUAAUAAUGUUUAUAUAUCUGUGGUGUUUUGAAUAGAUAUGGCCCCCAUAGACUCAUGUGUUUGAAUGCUUGGCCCAUACUGAGUAGCACUGUUUUGAGGUGUGGCCUUGCUGGAGUAGGUGUGGCCUUGUUGGAGGAAGUACAUCACUGUGGGGAUGAACAUCGAGGUCUCUUAUGCUCAAGCUAUGUCUAGUGUGGCACACAGUUUCCUUUGCUACCUGUGGAUCAAGAUGCGGAACUCUCAGCUCCUUCUCCAACUCCAUGACUACCUGCAUGUUCCCAUGCUCCCACCAUGAUGAUAAUGGACUAAGCCUCUGAAACUGUAGGCCAGCCCCAAUUAAAUGGUUUUCUUUACAGGA